Octopus bimaculoides (California two-spot octopus) is the source of this 74-nucleotide non-coding RNA. Lineage: Eukaryota; Metazoa; Mollusca; Cephalopoda; Octopoda; Octopodidae. The record is from Rfam.
GGCAGUUUAGCUUAAUGGUAAAGCACUUUGACCGGUAAUCACAGGGAUGUGAGUUCAAGUCUCAUGACUGGCCA